RNAcentral lists this ribosomal RNA (492 nucleotides) under uncultured bacterium. RNAcentral describes it as "partial 16S ribosomal RNA". It matches the Rfam family "Bacterial small subunit ribosomal RNA", at positions 29 to 507 of the family's 1533-position model. The record is from RNAcentral.
AGUGGACGCUGGCGGUAGGCCUAACACAUGCAAGUCGAACGGCAGCACAGUAAGAGCUUGCUCUUACGGGUGGCGAGUGGCGGACGGGUGAGGAAUACAUCGGAAUCUACCUUUUCGUGGGGGAUAACGUAGGGAAACUUACGCUAAUACCGCAUACGGCCUACGGGUGAAAGCAGGGGAUCUUCGGACCUUGCGCGAUUGAAUGAGCCGAUGUCGGAUUAGCUAGUUGGCGGGGUAAAGGCCCACCAAGGCGACGAUCCGUAGCUGGUCUGAGAGGAUGAUCAGCCACACUGGAACUGAGACACGGUCCAGACUCCUACGGGAGGCAGCAGUGGGGAAUAUUGGACAAUGGGCGCAAGCCUGAUCCAGCCAUACCGCGUGGGUGAAGAAGGCCUUCGGGUUGUAAAGCCCUUUUGUUGGGAAAGAAAAGCAGCAGGUUAAUACCCCGCUGUUCUGACGGUACCCAAAGAAUAAGCACCGGCUAACUUCGUG